Molecule: long non-coding RNA, 1122 nt
Filed under: Anolis carolinensis (green anole)
Lineage: Eukaryota; Metazoa; Chordata; Lepidosauria; Squamata; Anolidae
Description: lncRNA (ENSACAG00000028634.2)
Source: RNAcentral
AUGGUAGGACUCAAGCGAGUGCUGAGGGCAUUCUACGAAUAUUGUGAGAAAAAUCAGCUAAAGAUAAACUACAGUAAAACCAAAAUCAUGAUUUUCUCAAAAAAGCGAGCCAGACAUAACUGGUAUAUAGGAGAAAACUUAAUACAACAAGUUUCUUCCUUCAAAUACCUGGGGGUGACCUUUCAGGCCUCAGGCUCCUGGGGUUGUCAUCAAAAAAUGGCAAUACAAAAUGCUUUAUCCAGUAGUAAAGCUAUAAUACGCUUUUUCUACACAAAAGGUGGUCAAUAUAUCCCCGCUGCAAUAAAGGUUUUCCAAGCAAAGGUAACAGCCCAGCUACUUUACGCAAUUCCUGUUUGGAUCACAGGCUUCUCAUCUAAAGCUGAACAAGUUCAAUCAGGGUUCCUUAGAAAACUGUUCGCUGUCCCCAAUUGUGUUCCAUCUGCUGUUUUAAGACUUGAAUCAGGAACAGCCUCAUUGGAAUCAACAGCUUGGAGAAGGGCCCUAGGAUAUUGGAUUGAGAGGAUAUAUAAAGGACCUGAAGCAGGAUAUAUAUAUUUGAUUCAAAAAGACCUCUUCAAAUCCCACCAAAUCAAAGCAUUAAAUGAGAAGUUUAGGCAAUUGGGGCUUUCAGAGAAUAUACUGAGGGGUUUUGAGUAUAAAAAGACUGUGAAGAUCUUAGCAGAGCGAAUUAGUGACAUAGACAAACAAACCUCAAUGACUCAGGCGCGCUCCACAUGCUCCCCAUUGACUCUAGGCCUAACAUUUAAUUCUAUGGGAGGUGCUAAAUAUCUAGAAAACUUAAAUAUACCAAAGUUUCGCCUUGCUUUUAGCUGGGCCAGAUUCAAUGCACUCAAAUCAGCCAUACUAGAGGGCAGAUGCAAAGGCAUUAAAUACGAACACAGAGCAUGCCCUUGCGGGGAGGGAAAUGUCGAAACUGUUAUACAUGUACUUUUUAUUUGUACAAUUUACAAAGAUGAUAGAUUAAGGUUAAUAUCACCUCUACUCACUAAAUGGCCAGGAAGAACCCUAAAUUGGUACCGCAGUUAUUUACUGUCUGACUUUGACAAAAGGAUAACGGAGCAGGUGGCUAAAUUUCUCUUUUCAGCGGCAAAAAGCCGUUAG